UUCUUCAAAGAAGUUUCCUUUACCUUCCAGCUUUGUGUUUUUUCCCCUAUCUGUUGAAAUCUGCCUGCGCCAAAUCACUUCUUUGAAAAUGUUCACAUCAAGGUGUUGAUGCCAGUUCUGAAAUGUUUGUCUGGGAGCUGUCUGAGCAGAAACAGACCUGAAUGUGCCAACGAUAAGCUGGAGGCUACACACCUGUGCUUCUUUCAAUCGGUGCUGUCCCUGCCUUCAAGAUGUGUUGCCUUUCUGACAAAUUGAAUGCAAGACCGUCCACCUGCAAAAUUAUUAAGACUCACAAAAUUAUUAAGACUCACCUGCAAAAUUAUUAAGACUCACAAAAUUAUUAAGACUCACCUGCAAAAUUAUUAAGACUCACUUCAUUGCUGCGGUCUGGAACCAAACCCAUAACAACUCUAAGUCCACCGUGACCUUAUUUGGAAGACACUUUGCGAUGGAGAGUUCUUCAGGUCUCUUUGGAGAGUCCUUGGGCUUGCUAACACAGAGGCCCUUGCCAGGGGAGCAGUGAUGUGCCAGAUUGUAGUGGCUUUGCCAGCUUGUGUCCCUAAAUGAAGACAACAUGGAACAGAACCCCUAGCACAACCCAAGACAGGCAUGAGGGCCCUUUUCAGAGCAAAGCCCAUCUCUUUGAAGAUAUAAUCUCUGCGUUGAUCUAAGAAAAAUGACCUUAGUUUCCUACAACAGACUCUUUGGCGCCCUGUCUUACAGCC
Molecule: long non-coding RNA, 725 nt
Organism: Eptesicus fuscus (big brown bat)
Lineage: Eukaryota; Metazoa; Chordata; Mammalia; Chiroptera; Vespertilionidae
Exons: 6
Source: RefSeq, a predicted model, not a curated record